UGGGAUUCUUGCUCAGGUAGAUAGCCAGA
This 29-nucleotide non-coding RNA is filed under the name Rattus norvegicus (Norway rat). Lineage: Eukaryota; Metazoa; Chordata; Mammalia; Rodentia; Muridae. The record is from RNAcentral.